Molecule: ribosomal RNA, 490 nt
Filed under: uncultured bacterium
Lineage: Bacteria
Description: bacterial SSU rRNA
Rfam family: Bacterial small subunit ribosomal RNA
Source: RNAcentral
AUUGAACGCUGGCGGCAUGCCUUACACAUGCAAGUCGAACGGCAGCAUGGAAGAGCUUGCUCUUCUGAUGGCGAGUGGCGAACGGGUGAGUAAAGCAUCGGAACGUACCGUGUAGUGGGGGAUAACGUAGCGAAAGUUACGCUAAUACCGCAUACACACUGAGGUGGAAAGCAGGGGAUCGCAAGACCUUGCGCUAUACGAGCGGCCGAUGUCAGAUUAGCUAGUUGGUAGGGUAAAGGCCUACCAAGGCGACGAUCUGUAGCGGGUCUGAGAGGAUGAUCCGCCACACUGGGACUGAGACACGGCCCAGACUCCUACGGGAGGCAGCAGUGGGGAAUUUUGGACAAUGGGCGAAAGCCUGAUCCAGCCAUGCCGCGUGAGUGAAGAAGGCCUUCGGGUUGUAAAGCUCUUUCGGCUGGGAAGAAAUCGCACAGGCUAAUACUCUGUGUGGAUGACGGUACCAGCACAAGAAGCACCGGCUAACUACGUG